RNAcentral lists this ribosomal RNA (432 nucleotides) under uncultured bacterium. RNAcentral's name for it is "partial 16S ribosomal RNA". It matches the Rfam family "Bacterial small subunit ribosomal RNA", at positions 29 to 508 of the family's 1533-position model. The record is from RNAcentral.
AACGAACGCUGGCGGCAGGCUUAACACAUGCAAGUCGAGCGCCCCGCCAGGGGAGCGGCAGACGGGUGAGUAACGCGUGGGAACGUACCUUUUGGUUCGGAACAACUCCGGGACACUGGAGCUAAUACCGGAUAAGCCCUAACGGGGAAAGAUUUAUCGCCGAAAGAUCGGCCCGCGUCUGAUUAGCUAGUUGGUGAGGUAACGGCUCACCAAGGCGACGAUCAGUAGCUGGUCUGAGAGGAUGAUCAGCCACACUGGGACUGAGACACGGCCCAGACUCCUACGGGAGGCAGCAGUGGGGAAUAUUGGACAAUGGGCGCAAGCCUGAUCCAGCCAUGCCGCGUGAGUGAUGAAGGCCUUAGGGUUGUAAAACUCUUUUGUCCGGGAAGAUAAUGACUGUACCGGAAGAAUAAGCCCCGGCUAACUUCGUGC